RNAcentral lists this ribosomal RNA (253 nucleotides) under uncultured bacterium. RNAcentral's name for it is "partial 16S ribosomal RNA". It matches the Rfam family "Bacterial small subunit ribosomal RNA", at positions 524 to 776 of the family's 1533-position model. The record is from RNAcentral.
UACGGAGGGUGCUAGCGUUGUUCGGAAUUACUGGGCGUAAAGGGCGCGUAGGCGGCUGUUUGCGUCGGAUGUGAAAGCCCGGGGCUCAACCUCGGAACGGCAUUCGAUACGGGACGGCUGGAGACCGGGAGAGGAGAGUGGAAUAGCCAGUGUAGAGGUGAAAUUCGUAGAUAUUGGCUGGAACACCGGUGGCGAAAGCGGCUCUCUGGCCCGGUUCUGACGCUGAGGCGCGAAAGCGUGGGGAGCAAACAGG